RNAcentral lists this ribosomal RNA (1542 nucleotides) under Escherichia albertii. RNAcentral describes it as "bacterial SSU rRNA". It matches the Rfam family "Bacterial small subunit ribosomal RNA". The record is from RNAcentral. Lineage: Bacteria; Pseudomonadati; Pseudomonadota; Gammaproteobacteria; Enterobacterales; Enterobacteriaceae.
AAAUUGAAGAGUUUGAUCAUGGCUCAGAUUGAACGCUGGCGGCAGGCCUAACACAUGCAAGUCGAACGGUAACAGGAAGCAGCUUGCUGCUUUGCUGACGAGUGGCGGACGGGUGAGUAAUGUCUGGGAAACUGCCCGAUGGAGGGGGAUAACUACUGGAAACGGUAGCUAAUACCGCAUAACGUCGCAAGACCAAAGAGGGGGACCUUCGGGCCUCUUGCCAUCGGAUGUGCCCAGAUGGGAUUAGCUUGUUGGUGAGGUAACGGCUCACCAAGGCGACGAUCCCUAGCUGGUCUGAGAGGAUGACCAGCCACACUGGAACUGAGACACGGUCCAGACUCCUACGGGAGGCAGCAGUGGGGAAUAUUGCACAAUGGGCGCAAGCCUGAUGCAGCCAUGCCGCGUGUAUGAAGAAGGCCUUCGGGUUGUAAAGUACUUUCAGCGGGGAGGAAGGGAGUAAAGUUAAUACCUUUACUCAUUGACGUUACCCGCAGAAGAAGCACCGGCUAACUCCGUGCCAGCAGCCGCGGUAAUACGGAGGGUGCAAGCGUUAAUCGGAAUUACUGGGCGUAAAGCGCACGCAGGCGGUUUGUUAAGUCAGAUGUGAAAUCCCCGGGCUCAACCUGGGAACUGCAUCUGAUACUGGCAAGCUUGAGUCUCGUAGAGGGGGGUAGAAUUCCAGGUGUAGCGGUGAAAUGCGUAGAGAUCUGGAGGAAUACCGGUGGCGAAGGCGGCCCCCUGGACGAAGACUGACGCUCAGGUGCGAAAGCGUGGGGAGCAAACAGGAUUAGAUACCCUGGUAGUCCACGCCGUAAACGAUGUCGACUUGGAGGUUGUGCCCUUGAGGCGUGGCUUCCGGAGCUAACGCGUUAAGUCGACCGCCUGGGGAGUACGGCCGCAAGGUUAAAACUCAAAUGAAUUGACGGGGGCCCGCACAAGCGGUGGAGCAUGUGGUUUAAUUCGAUGCAACGCGAAGAACCUUACCUGGUCUUGACAUCCACGGAAGUUUUCAGAGAUGAGAAUGUGCCUUCGGGAACCGUGAGACAGGUGCUGCAUGGCUGUCGUCAGCUCGUGUUGUGAAAUGUUGGGUUAAGUCCCGCAACGAGCGCAACCCUUAUCCUUUGUUGCCAGCGGUCCGGCCGGGAACUCAAAGGAGACUGCCAGUGAUAAACUGGAGGAAGGUGGGGAUGACGUCAAGUCAUCAUGGCCCUUACGACCAGGGCUACACACGUGCUACAAUGGCGCAUACAAAGAGAAGCGACCUCGCGAGAGCAAGCGGACCUCAUAAAGUGCGUCGUAGUCCGGAUUGGAGUCUGCAACUCGACUCCAUGAAGUCGGAAUCGCUAGUAAUCGUGGAUCAGAAUGCCACGGUGAAUACGUUCCCGGGCCUUGUACACACCGCCCGUCACACCAUGGGAGUGGGUUGCAAAAGAAGUAGGUAGCUUAACCUUCGGGAGGGCGCUUACCACUUUGUGAUUCAUGACUGGGGUGAAGUCGUAACAAGGUAACCGUAGGGGAACCUGCGGUUGGAUCACCUCCUUA